GCUGCCACAUUAGCCAGAGUUUUAGUUUAUAAAAUAUAAAAGAAAACUCAGAAAGCGAACAUCAACCCUAAAACUCAGAAACCCACAUUUCUCUCACUCACAAACAAGUCAAGAACACAGUGAAGCAGAUCGAAAAUGGCGGAAUCGAAGAAGAACGACAUCGUUCAUUCACCGCUCGUCACCUAUGCUUCCAUGAUUUCUCUCCUCACACUCUGUCCUCCUUUCGUAAUUUUACUGUAAGUACUGAUUAAUUGAUCCCUAAUUGAAUCUCUAAUCUUCGAUUUUGAAUUUGAAUCAGAUCUAAUUUGAAAUUGAUCAGUUUUGAACACUGACGGUUGCGGAUGGAUCGGUUUUGAACACUUUUGAUUACUUUAGGAUUAACGGUUUUCAAGGUUUUGUUGAUUUGUGGCCUAAACCUACUCUUCUCACUUGCGAAAUUAUCGCUGCUUAUGGUGUUUUUGAAGUCAUGCUUCAGCUUCUUCUUCCUGGUAAAAUUGUUUACAACCCUAUUUCUCCCACUGGCAAUCGUCUUGUGUAUAAGGCGAAUGGUGUUGCUGCGUAUUUAGUCACUUUGGUUACUUAUGUUGCUCUUUGGUGGCGUGCCAACAAUCGUUUAUGAUCAUUUGGGAGAGAUUUAUUCAACCCUUAUCUUUGGGAGCUUAAUCUUUUGUGUUUUCUUGUACAUAAAAGGUCAUUUGGCACCAUCUUCGUCUGAUUCUGGCUCCUCUGAAGAGGAUUCUUUGGUUCUGUCACAUAGGUUCAAUGUCAAUGGUGAUAAAGAGAAUGUUAGGUCUCGUUUAAAGGUUAGUAAUCAAGAAGCAAUACACAUUGCUCGUCAAUUUUGCGUAGAAAACAAUAAACAACCAUUGAUGGCAUGUAAAAAGCUUGCGGAAUUUUCUGCUUCACGAGGCUCGUUGGAUGAUACAAGUGUUAUGCUAAUCAAAUUGAAACAUUAUACUUAGAAGGUUCAUUAGUAGAAGAAGAGAAGAAGGUGGUGCAUGAUGAUAAAGAUUAGCUUAUUCUUUUAUGUAGAUAAUAAUUAUCACUAGUUAUUGAUUAUUUAUAUCUAACGACAUUUAUCGGUGAUUUUUUUGUACCCGUAGAUGGGUGGUAGAAGAGAUUAACAUUGCAGUUUAGAAAUUUUUUACUAAGAGACAUGCUGAAGUCAAUGUACUUAAUGUUUAAGAUCCUGUGAAAAGUUUUCUAUGGAACGUCUUAAGUUGCUAGGUGAUUCUGUUUUAAAAUAUGCUGUCAGUUGUCAUCUCUUUCUUAAAUAUCCUAAGAAACAUGAAGGACAUAUAUCCGCAAAAAGACAAUGGGUUGUUCGUAAUUCAACCCUACAUAAACUUGGAAUAGAACGAAAAUUACAGGUAGUCUUUACUAUGGCUAUUAUUUUUUAUUUCGCCACUGUCAAGGAGCAUAAAACUUAAAUUCUUAGUAAAAAAUAUGUCAAUGCUUAUUAUUUUGUCAUGUUUUCUGACAGGGAUAUAUUCGAGACUUCGCAUUUGAACCACGUCGUUGGAUUACUCCUGGACAAGAUUUUGUUGGAUUACACUAAUGCUUUGGCUGCUGCUAAGGAGGCUGAAGCAUUCGUAGAGGCUCGAGCCAACAAUGAAGCAAGAACUGAGCUAGAGAGUCGUCUAAGAGAAGCCAGGGAACAUGAAUCUAUCACUAGUUAUUUUGAAAUUGAAGCUUAGACUUUUGUUUGACUAUGAUCUGUUGGUUGAAAUUUGUGUUAUCUUUCCUCCUAUGCUAAACAAUUUUAUAUUUGAAAAGACUUUGUUUUGGUAACCAUAUCAUUGGUGAGGAAUAACAUGUAUUUUGGCAUAUAAAAAAGCAGUGAUAUAUCAUUGUUAAAAACAUUAGUGGUAGCCGAUGCAGGACAUUCAAUCAAUGAAUCUUCUCCUCACAGAUAAGAUGACUACACCUUUAUUAGACGUAUUCAAGCUACUUCUCAUGUGACUGGCAGUGUCAUAGGUUAAUCGAUGGUUGUCAAGUUGUGGUUAUAAGAUUUGGUAUGAGAUUCGAAUAUUCUUCGGAGGACCUGACAAUAAUGAAGCGCUUGCUUACGAUAUGAGAAUAGUCGAACAUCCUGACAUUGUGCUAAUUGUUGUUAAAUUUGUGUCUCCACCCGGAACAACAUUAUCAUUAGGCGCUAAGUUAGUCGGUGUUGCAUCGGUAGAAUAUACUAUGUUAGGAAGAAUGUAAAUAGGUUAACAGUUGAUUGUAUAUUAUCAAAGAAUGUAAAUAGGUUAACUGGUGAUUGUAUGUUAUUAUUUCAUCAUUAAUUUUUUUACUGAGGUGCUUUUGAA
This is a long non-coding RNA of Vicia villosa (hairy vetch), 2312 nucleotides long. RefSeq lists it as uncharacterized. The record is from RefSeq and is a predicted model, not a curated record. The transcript is spliced from 7 exons. Lineage: Eukaryota; Viridiplantae; Streptophyta; Magnoliopsida; Fabales; Fabaceae.